This 466-nucleotide ribosomal RNA is filed under the name uncultured bacterium. RNAcentral describes it as "partial 16S ribosomal RNA". It matches the Rfam family "Bacterial small subunit ribosomal RNA", at positions 28 to 507 of the family's 1533-position model. The record is from RNAcentral.
GACGAACGCUGGCGGCGUGCUUAACACAUGCAAGUCGAACGGUAAGGCUCCAGCUUGCUGGGGUACACGAGUGGCGAACGGGUGAGUAACACGUGGGUGACCUGCCCUGCACUUCGGGAUAAGCCUGGGAAACUGGGUCUAAUACCGGAUAGGACCAUGGUGUGGAUACUGUGGUGGAAAGUUUUUUCGGUGUGGGAUGGGCCCGCGGCUUAUCAGCUUGUUGGUGGGGUAAUGGCCUACCAAGGCGGCGACGGGUAGCCGGCCUGAGAGGGUGGACGGCCACAUUGGGACUGAGACACGGCCCAGACUCCUACGGGAGGCAGCAGUGGGGAAUAUUGCACAAUGGGCGGAAGCCUGAUGCAGCGACGCCGCGUGGGGGAUGACGGCCUUCGGGUUGUAAACUCCUUUCACCAUCGACGAAGGGUUUCUGACGGUAGAUGGAGAAGAAGCACCGGCUAACUACGUG